GCCUUUGUAGCUCAGUGGCUAGAGCGUCUGCCUAGUAAGCAGAAGGUCCGCAGUUCGAUCCUGUGUAAAGGCA
Molecule: non-coding RNA, 73 nt
Organism: Caulochytrium protostelioides
Lineage: Eukaryota; Fungi; Chytridiomycota; Caulochytriomycetes; Caulochytriales; Caulochytriaceae
Source: the annotation of a GenBank genome assembly